AGCUCGUGUCGUGAGAUGUUGGGUUAAGGUCCCGCAACGAGCGCAACCCCUCGCAUUCAGUUGCCAUCGGGUAAUGCCGGGCACUCUGGAAGGACUGCCAUCGACAAGAUGGAGGAAGGUGGGGAGUGACGUCAAGUCAUCAUGGCCCUUAUGUCCAGGGCGACACACGUGCUACAAUGGCCGGCACAACGGGAAGCGAGUUCGCGAGGACGAGCGGAUCCCUCAAAGCCGGUCGCAGUUCGGAUUGAAGUCUGCAACUCGACUUCAUGAAGCUGGAAUCGCUAGUAAUCGUGGAUCAGCCAAGCCGCGGUGAAUACGUUCCCGGGCCUU
This 330-nucleotide ribosomal RNA is filed under the name uncultured Synergistaceae bacterium. RNAcentral describes it as "bacterial SSU rRNA". It matches the Rfam family "Bacterial small subunit ribosomal RNA", at positions 1057 to 1382 of the family's 1533-position model. Lineage: Bacteria; Thermotogati; Synergistota; Synergistia; Synergistales; Synergistaceae. The record is from RNAcentral.